Molecule: ribosomal RNA, 492 nt
Filed under: uncultured bacterium
Lineage: Bacteria
Description: partial 16S ribosomal RNA
Rfam family: Bacterial small subunit ribosomal RNA
Source: RNAcentral
AGUGAACGCUGGCGGUAGGCCUAACACAUGCAAGUCGAACGGCAGCACAGUAAGAGCUUGCUCUUACGGGUGGCGAGUGGCGGACGGGUGAGGAAUACAUCGGAAUCUACUUUUUCGUGGGGGAUAACGUAGGGAAACUUACGCUAAUACCGCAUACGACCUACGGGUGAAAGCAGGGGAUCUUCGGACCUUGCGCGAUUGAAUGAGCCGAUGUCGGAUUAGCUAGUUGGCGGGGUAAAGGCCCACCAAGGCGACGAUCCGUAGCUGGUCUGAGAGGAUGAUCACCCACACUGGAGCUGAGACACGUUCCAGACUCCUACGGGAGGCAGCAGUGGGGAAUAUUGGACAAUGGGCGCAAGCCUGAUCCAGCCAUACCGCGUGGGUGAAGAAGGCCUUCGGGUUGUAAAGCCCUUUUGUUGGGAAAGAAAAGCAGCAGGUUAAUACCCCGCUGUUCUGACGGUACCCAAAGAAUAAGCACCGGCUAACUUCGUG